UGGGGAAUAUUGCGCAAUGGGGGAAACCCUGACGCAGCGACGCCGCGUGGAGGAUGAAGGCCUUCGGGUUGUAAACUCCUUUCGGAGGGGACGAAGAAAGGUUCGCCUUUUUGACGGUACCCUCAGAAGAAGCACCGGCUAACUCCGUGCCAGCAGCCGCGGUAAUACGGGGGGUGCUAGCGUUGUUCGGAAUUACUGGGCGUAAAGCGUAUGUAGGCGGUUUGUUAAGCGGAAUGUGAAAUCCUCAGGCUCAACCUGAGAACUGCAUUCGGAACUGGCAGACUUGAGUACGGAAGAGGGAGACAGAAUUCCAGGUGGAGGGGUGAAAUCCGUAGAGAUCUGGAAGAAUACCGGUGGCGAAGGCGGUCUCCUGGUACGUUACUGACGCUGAGAUACGAAAGCGUGGGGAGCAAACA
Molecule: ribosomal RNA, 416 nt
Filed under: uncultured bacterium
Lineage: Bacteria
Description: bacterial SSU rRNA
Rfam family: Bacterial small subunit ribosomal RNA
Source: RNAcentral